This 381-nucleotide ribosomal RNA is filed under the name Triticum aestivum (bread wheat). Its description in RNAcentral is "partial small subunit ribosomal RNA". Lineage: Eukaryota; Viridiplantae; Streptophyta; Magnoliopsida; Poales; Poaceae. The record is from RNAcentral.
AUGACGAGGAACCAGAUAUUGAUCCUUACAUACAGCAGCCAUCAAUGCAAUCUGGGGCGUCACGUCGUGCUCCAAAAAGAAAAAGACGGGGGAGAGGAGGAGGACAAGGAAGAAGAUCGUGAGGCAGAGGAGGAGGAAGAAGAAGGUGAGGCCAAAGAGGGGGACGGGGACAAAGGGGCAGCAGUUGAUGGCAGUGAGAGGGGAGAAGACAAAGGCGCAACAGCUGAUGGCAGUGAGAGGGAAGAAGACGAUGAUGAAGAAGACGAGGAUGGUUAUGGUGAUGAUAAAUGGGGAUCCAAUGGAGGCAGCGACAGCAGCGAUGACGAUAAUGAUGACAACGCCCCUAGUUCUGGUGGAUUUGCCAAAGUUAAAGAAAAAUGA